ACAGGAUCUAUUUUAUAAGUUCUUCAGGAUAGGGGAUUUCCAAACUCUUGGCCAUACUACGAAAUGAACUCAUUCAUUCAGUCAUCACAGACUGAGCAGGAACACACGAGCCCACAGUCAGGAUACGCACAAGCACUGGCAAAAGGGAAAAUUUAUGUCUAAUACCUCCCAUCGGAGGACUGAAUAUCGGGUAUAAAACUUCAGGAGCCAACCUCGCUGGAUUCGAGGCCCAGUCCUCCUUUCCCCAGGUCUACUGCUUUUUCACUCCUAAGCAAACUCCUGGCCUCAUGUCCUUUCCUUGAAAACGUCACACUAAGGACAGAUGCUAAGCUCUGUAAGUACCCCUCCAUAAUCCCACUCCUCCAUCAUCUCCCUCCCCUCCCCCCCAGGAGACACUUUGCCUGUCUUCCUUCCCACAUACUUUUCCAUCCAAGCUGUUUUCAAG
RNAcentral lists this long non-coding RNA (445 nucleotides) under Chinchilla lanigera (long-tailed chinchilla). RNAcentral's name for it is "lncRNA (ENSCLAG00000028820.1)". Lineage: Eukaryota; Metazoa; Chordata; Mammalia; Rodentia; Chinchillidae. The record is from RNAcentral.